RNAcentral lists this transfer RNA (85 nucleotides) under Felis catus (domestic cat). It matches the Rfam family "tRNA". Rfam says of the family: Transfer RNA (tRNA) molecules are approximately 80 nucleotides in length. Their secondary structure includes four short double-helical elements and three loops (D, anti-codon, and T loops). Further hydrogen bonds mediate the characteristic L-shaped molecular structure. tRNAs have two regions of fundamental functional importance: the anti-codon, which is responsible for specific mRNA codon recognition, and the 3' end, to which the tRNAs corresponding amino acid is attached (by aminoacyl-tRNA synthetases). tRNAs cope with the degeneracy of the genetic code in two manners: having more than one tRNA (with a specific anti-codon) for a particular amino acid; and 'wobble' base-pairing, i.e. permitting non-standard base-pairing at the 3rd anti-codon position. Lineage: Eukaryota; Metazoa; Chordata; Mammalia; Carnivora; Felidae. The record is from Rfam by way of RNAcentral.
GCCCGGGUGGCUCAGUCAGUUGAGCAUCUGACUUCGGCUCAGGUCAUGAUCUCGUGGUUCAUGGGUUCGAGCCCCACAUCGGGUU